This is a long non-coding RNA of Pristis pectinata (smalltooth sawfish), 672 nucleotides long. RefSeq lists it as uncharacterized. The transcript has 3 exons. NCBI's taxonomy places the organism in Eukaryota, Metazoa, Chordata, Chondrichthyes, Rhinopristiformes, Pristidae. The record is from RefSeq and is a predicted model, not a curated record.
CCUUGGUGCGGAUGUCCGGCGGCAGGUUGCCCACGUAUAUUCGACAGUCGUUGUUGCCCGCCGGCCCACGGAUCACGCCGCUGUGGUUCUGCAUUCCGUUCCCCUCCAGCCCGACGGUUGGUGCGGCUUAAAAUAGCAUCUGUAGAAUUUUGCUUCAGUGAUGUGUCUAAAGCGACACCAGAGGACGAAAUUUCAGGAGGAAGGUCAUCCAGACAGAUGUGAGAAAGGUUUGCUGAAAGAAGUUUGUGAGAAAAAAAAUGCCCUUUCCAGACAUGGUAUUUACAAACUGAAGGCCCAAUGUAGGAAGCAAUAAAGAAGAAUCUAUCAUCAUGAAUGUAGGAUGGGAAGGAGGAACCCACAUCCACCAGAGAGUGUCUAUAGGCAGGGGCUGUCUUACAAGAUGAUAUCAGAGGAGUUUUGUAUGAUUACUUUUUCGCAAAGAUGUAAUUUGGGCAAAAUUGCCCACAGUGCAACAAAGAUCUACAUUCAUUAAGUCUCAAAUGCUAUAUUGUGAAGGGUGUCAGUCUUCAUCAGUUUGACAUAUCCCCAAUUCUUCAUCCAACCCUGAAGUCCAUCACAUUCCACAGUAUCACUGGCUUCCCCAAAGUGCUUGGAGCCGUCGAUGGAAUCCAUAUUCCACAGAAGGCACCUACACCACGACCAUGUCUGGAA